UGUGACAGAAUAGUGUGAUAAAUUUAAGAUUUAUUUAUAAAGUUUCAUCUUUCUUUAGAA
Molecule: transfer RNA, 60 nt
Filed under: Metriorrhynchus sp. UPOL 000374
Lineage: Eukaryota; Metazoa; Arthropoda; Insecta; Coleoptera; Lycidae
Also listed under: 1 other name
Description: tRNA-Leu
Source: RNAcentral